Schizosaccharomyces pombe (fission yeast) is the source of this 2650-nucleotide non-coding RNA. Lineage: Eukaryota; Fungi; Ascomycota; Schizosaccharomycetes; Schizosaccharomycetales; Schizosaccharomycetaceae. The record is from the annotation of a GenBank genome assembly.
UUAAUUCAAUCCAGAUGAUAAGCCAGUAUUAAGUAUGAAAAGUUGAUGAUGCAUAUGAAGAAAGUGAAUGCUCGAUACACUAAGACCAUAAGUUGUUUAUCCCUCUGCCUCUUCCACACUAUUGCUUUUGUGCUUUGGUGUAAAGGUGAAUCGCUCAGGAGUAGGACCUAGGAAGAACUCACUCAAUUUAACCCAGUCCGUAACUUUAUUACUGGCCAAGAGAGUUUCCAUCUCAUCUCUCGCGGUAUAUAGAGGCGGUCUAUCAUUUAAUCUGGGCCUUUGAACUUCGUACAAAGCUAUAGGUGUAUAACGAUGGAAAAAGCUCAUAAACUCCAAGAAAAAUCUCCUAGUCGUAUUGACUCCUUGAGAGUCAGAACCCCAAUACUCUAAACCAUUAUUACAGUAUUGUUCCAACAUUUCGAGUCGUUGAGUUGAUGACUUAUCAAUAAACUGACGAGCUUCAAUUUCUUCAAAAAUCCAUGGCUUAACGAGUGCACCUCGGGCAAUCAUCACAGUAUCAACACCCUUGUUAACACCAUCAUACCAAUCCUGCCAUGAAUAACAGUCUCCAUUUCCAAUCAGCGAAAGAGGUUGGGUACGCAAGGAGUCCUCAGGAAGUUCAUCUAUUCUCUCAUUCAUACUUUUUACUUUAGAAGCAAUUUCACCAAUAUAAUCCCAAUUUGCGUUUUUACUAUAUCGCUGUUGGCGAGAUCUUCCAUGUAAUGUAGCAGCUGAAGUGUUUGUUUCGUUGAAAAUUCUACCAAUUAAAUUUUUGACAACUGGGUGGUCGUCUUUGUUUCCCAUACGAAGUUUUACGGUGACAGGAAUUUGGCCAGAUACCGCAUCCAUACCUUGGAGAUUACGAAGUAACCUGCCAGGAUUCUCGAGAAGAGAAGAACCGGCGCCUUGACGAAAUACCAAAUCUAUAGGGCAACCGCAAUUUAAAUCGAGAAAAUCAACGCCAUCACAUUGUUCAGCUAUUACUUGUGCAGUUUUAGUGGCCUGCCAAAGUUUUCCGGUAGCUAGUUGGACCCCUAAUAUACCACGACGACCACCUCGCAUCAUUUCACGCUCAUAGUUUAGCCCACGAACAAGAGCCCACUCAGGUUGAUGACCUUGCAUAAGUGGAUAACACAUCGCCAUUUCGGAGUAAAACGUAUCAGCACCCAGAGAGCCACAAAGACGACGAAAAGGUGGAUUUCCAACGGUGGUAAGAGGAGCUAGAAUCUUUCUGUCUCGCCAGUCAAUGAGAUUUUUUUCUUGAGGCCGUAAAGUAGGUAAAGCGAUGUUUGACCGAGCUUGUGAAGAGAUUUCUUUUAAAUCGACAUUGACCGAGACGGUUUGAUUUUUUAACACCCCAGUUUCUUCCAGUGAAACAGAUUCUGUCUCUUUUCCUUCGGAAAUAGCACUAGUGGCAUCUCUAUUUUCCUCAGGAAUAUUGGAUACUUUUGAAGAAGGGUCGGGCUUUUCUUCACCUAAAACUGCGGAUAUAAUACUUUCAGCCUUUGAUAGAUCUAACUGUUUUGUUCUUAGCUUUCUCUGUACCUCUUUUCCAACAGUAUUUACGGUAAAAAGCGUAAACUGCCCAUCGGGUUUUUUUAUAAGCUCGUACUUUCCGUCUGCAUUGAUAACAACAUGGCCCGCUAGCCAGCGACAUUUGAAACCAGCUGGGCAUACUCCAUACCGCUCGAAUAUAGGGCAUUUGUCUCCAAUGUCAGGUGCCUUGGUAGCAAGGUAAGCCUCCACAUCGUGUGGGAAUUUGCAGUUUUCUUUAUAUGGACACUCAUUCCCAAUAGAUAUAGCUGGACAAAGAGCGUUGUUCUCUUUUACGUGAAUUUUUUCUCUCCGUUUAUUUUGACCCCUCUCUUUACGCUUUCGUUUUUUAUUUCCAUCUUGUUUCACCAAAAAUCUAAGGUAUAGUUAGUAAUUGACUAUUGAAAGCGAGGUUCAAGCAUACUCUUCCCGAAUAGGAACCGCUCCAGUCUCCAAUUCUGCCAUUAAGUACCCAAAAAUCCGAUUUCCCUUGAAUUUAGUAGUUUGCUUUAUGCAAACUGCAUAUUUUCUCUAGAUUCUGUGCGCGUCUGUGAAAAUAAGAUACGACGUAGCAGUGCAAUAUUCAAAAUUAACGGUUUACAUGAUAGAUUCGAAAAGCAAUCAUAUUGCCUAAUAGAUAAAAAAAAACUCUAAAACUGCAUAGUAAUAUUAACGCUAUAUGCUUUUAGGUACACAGUUAUGUUUUGUAAAACGUAACAAUGGCUGUAACUGUCUAUUGAAAUUAGAAAUGUAUAAAUCUUAAAGACGUUUAGAAUGCACACUUUUGAGAUGCUGCUAUUCAUUGAGUUGUAUAUUCUUCAGAUGCCAAGAUAUUACUAAGUUAAAUUUAAACUGCUUUGUACUGAUGACCAUAAUUCUUCAUAUUAUGUACCUGUAUAUUUACACAUAAACAGGAAAUGCUAGUAGUUACACGUUUCGGAUUUCUUUUAUACUAAGGUAGAUCUAAUAAUGGAGCUUCAAUGAUUAAGCAAGUAGCUCUAUGCUUCCGAAGAGUCAGGACGGUGGUCUAAUAAUUAAGCUGUUGGUGAAUUCUUAUGUUUAGAAUUAGGCAUCUGAACUUUAAUAAAAAGAAUUAAGAAAUAAUAUUUGGUUUAAC